GCAGGGAGGGCUGCAAGAGCAGGGAGGGUUGUAGAAGGGCAGAGAAGGCUGUGGGAGAUCACUGAGGAUGGUGGGAGAAAACUGGAUUAUAGAAGAUAAGGAGAUUGUGGGAGAGCACAGGAUUGUGGGAGAAAACAGAAUUGUGGGUAAGGAUAGAAUACUGUGAGAUAGUGAAUUGUGGGAAAGAAGGUACAGUGAGAUAGAGAAUUCACCCUGUGCUCUUCUACCUGCUUUUUCUAUUGGGUCUGCCCCUGUCAGGUCUGGCUGCGCCCUCACAGUCUGGCAGAACCCUGCCCCUGUCUCCGAGGACACACCAUGUUUGCUCCUUCGUGACCACGCCCCCUCCUGCCCGACAACGCCUCUCUUGCUGGAGCCACAUUCGCGGUUAUCCAUGGGCCUGCUGCACUCCGUAACAGUCCCUAAGAAUUGUGGGAGAGUCAUGGAAUUAUGGGAGGGAACAGAGGCUUCUGGGAGACUGUGGAAGAAGCAGGGACUUUUUGGAGAGACAAAGAAGUGUGGCAGACACAUACGUCAAUGGCCUUCUGUGCUUGGUGUGGUUCCUCCUGCGGAAGCCAUAUCUGAGACAGGAAGGGGUGUAAUUUCAGGCUAUGCAUGGGAAUUGAACUGGAUACUGUCAUGGAAGAAUAUCAUAAAGGCGAAUCUCAUCCAUCAUGUGCAUUCAGUUUUUUUCAGACAACACAUGGAAAGAAGCCCAGCCAGAAGACUUGACUUCAGUGAGAUUAAGGAACCCAGCAGCUUUUCCUUUGACACUCAAUUGGUUAUUUUACCCCCUCAUCCUGGUACAUUUCCUUCUCCCUCUUCUUCUUUCUAA
Molecule: long non-coding RNA, 832 nt
Filed under: Rhinopithecus bieti (black snub-nosed monkey)
Lineage: Eukaryota; Metazoa; Chordata; Mammalia; Primates; Cercopithecidae
Description: lncRNA (ENSRBIG00000045466.1)
Source: RNAcentral